AUCAUUCUGAAUUCGUGCAUAGAUCUAGUCACAUACCAACAAAUUAGGGCUGAUUAGACUCCGAAGAUAAGUGAAGUU
This 78-nucleotide microRNA precursor is filed under the name Schistosoma mattheei. RNAcentral describes it as "mir-3492 microRNA precursor family". It matches the Rfam family "mir-3492 microRNA precursor family". The record is from Rfam by way of RNAcentral. Lineage: Eukaryota; Metazoa; Platyhelminthes; Trematoda; Strigeidida; Schistosomatidae.